This 402-nucleotide ribosomal RNA is filed under the name Verrucomicrobiota bacterium. Its description in RNAcentral is "Verrucomicrobia bacterium partial 16S ribosomal RNA". It matches the Rfam family "Bacterial small subunit ribosomal RNA", at positions 355 to 776 of the family's 1533-position model. Lineage: Bacteria; Pseudomonadati; Verrucomicrobiota. The record is from RNAcentral.
UGGGGAAUUUUGCACAAUGGGGGAAACCCUGAUGCAGCGACGCCGCGUGAUUUAGAAGGCCUUCGGGUUGUAAAAAUCUUUUUUAUGGGAUGAAAAUGACAGUACCAUAAGAAUAAGGUCCGGCUAACUACGUGCCAGCAGCCGCGGUAAUACGUAGGGGGCUAGCGUUGUCCGGAAUCACUGGGCGUAAAGGGUUCGCAGGCGGCAAUGCAAGUCAGAUGUAAAAGGCAAAGGCUCAACCUUUGUAAGCAUCUGAAACUGUAUAGCUUGAGAAGUGUAGAGGCAAGUGGAAUUUUUAGUGUAGCGGUGAAAUGCGUAGAUAUUAAAAAGAAUACCGGUGGCGAAGGCGACUUGCUGGGCACAAUCUGACGCUGAGGAACGAAAGCGUGGGGAGCAAACAGG